RNAcentral lists this ribosomal RNA (507 nucleotides) under uncultured Gemmatimonadota bacterium. Its description in RNAcentral is "bacterial SSU rRNA". It matches the Rfam family "Bacterial small subunit ribosomal RNA", at positions 548 to 1050 of the family's 1533-position model. The record is from RNAcentral. Lineage: Bacteria; Pseudomonadati; Gemmatimonadota.
GAAUCACUGGGCGUAAAGGGCGCGUAGGUGGUUUGAUAAGGGUGUGGUGAAAGUCCGGGGCUCAACCCCGGAUCUGCCGUGCCGACUGUCAAACUCGAGGGCUGUAGAGGCAGACGGAAUUCCGGGUGUAGCGGUGGAAUGCGUAGAGAUCCGGAGGAAGACCGGUGGCGAAGGCGGUCUGCUGGGCAGUUUCUGACACUGAGGCGCGACAGCGUGGGGAGCAAACAGGAUUAGAUACCCUGGUAGUCCACGCCGUAAACGAUGGGUACUAGGUGCCUGGGGGAGCGACCCUCUGGGUGCCGGCGCUAACGCAGGAAGUACCCCGCCUGGGGAGUACGACCGCAAGGUUGAAACUCAAAGGAAUUGAUCGGGGGCCCGCACAAGCGGUGGAGCAUGUGGUUUAAUUCGACGCAACGCGAAGAACCUUACUCUAGGCUUGACAUGCAGGAGCAAGCUCUCAGAAACGAGAGCCCCUCUUCGGAGAUCCUGCACAGGUGCUGCAUGGCU